Prosopis cineraria is the source of this 1944-nucleotide RNA transcript. RefSeq lists it as uncharacterized. The record is from RefSeq and is a predicted model, not a curated record. The transcript is spliced from 2 exons. Lineage: Eukaryota; Viridiplantae; Streptophyta; Magnoliopsida; Fabales; Fabaceae.
CCUUUCCUUUGUACAUGGUGUCGUGACCUCCGAAGCUGCUUUAAAGCUCACAAAUCUGCUUCUUCCUUCAAAACGUUGGCUAUACACCUCAAAAGUUGCUUCACAAAUCUGCUUCUUCCUUUCAAAACUCUCGACGAGCAGCUUCUUCCUUCUCAUCUUUGUGCUUUCAGAAUACUCGCUCGCAGAUCUGCUUCUUCUUCCUUCCGUUAGUCAAGCGAUGCCAUCCAGCAGCUCAUCUCUACUAUGUUGAAGCACCUCCGGCCGAUCUCCAACCCUCCAUCGUCCGUUCUAGCUUCCACUAUGUCGAAGCUCUGAAGUGGUUCUUCUCCCUGACGCAUCUCGAUCUCCACCAUGUCCACCAAAUUUGCACUUCCUAUCACCAGAUCUACUCCCCAUCACCUGUCCUUGCCAAGUAAGGGGAGAGGAAUAUGGGAAACCCAUAACUUAGGCAGUGAAGAAUGGUAUAGGGUGGUAAUUCAACCUUAGCACGUUAUAUCUCACCUCAACCUUUAAUUGAUGUUUAUUUUAGGUGAGUUAUCAGUUUAAUGUCAUUGACUUGAUUGAUACAUUUAAAAAUAUGGCAUAUAGCUCUCUUCUAAGGAAUUUAUUGAUAAAAAGGCUCCAUGAAUUUGAAAAAUGCCAAACUGAAAAUCUGAAAAUAAGAGUCUUUUGGUAAAUUGUGAUACAUAUAUGUAGAAAUAUAUAUUGAUUUUGCAUGUUUGUGAUGGCUAACUAGUCUAUACAACAAUGAAUAGCAAUAAAGGAAAAGCUGUGUGGAAUUCAACUUUGACAAAAAAUUUCAUUAAAGAAUGCUUGGAACAAGUGUACAAGAAAUAAAGGAAAGGAACUGCUUCCAACAAAAAUGGUGGCAGGCAAUAAUUGAGGGGUUUGAGGCAAAAAUAGGAAAAAUGUAUGAGCGAAAGCAAUUGAAAAAUAAGCUAGAUAACAUGAGGAAAGAAUGGAACGUAUGACAUAAGUUGUUUUCAAGGUGGGACAGUGACAAGAAUAAUGUUAAUACUUCAGAUGAGUGGUGGGAGCAAAAAAUCUUGGUAUAGAUUAGUUGUUAAGUGUUUUUAAGAUUAGAAUUUAAUUUGAGAAUUUUAAUUGUUGGUUAUUUGAAUGGUUGCAGAAAAAUCCUCUUUAUGAAAAAUUUAAAUAUAAAGGUCUGAGAUUUGCAAGAGAAUUAACUUUGAUAUUCAAGGAUGUCCUGACGAUUGGGGAAACACUUUUUAUACCAUCUACUACCCAGACCCAAAUAGAGGAUGAUGAUGAUGAGGAUGUGUACCACCCUACUAUUGACCUUCAGGAAGGCUCCGGUAAUAGUGAAGAGGAGCUAAAUUUAUCUAACACCACAGCACCUACGAGGGUCACCGAUGAGUUGUUGGGCUUAAAUAUCACCACAAAUAUCAAUGGAACUAGUGGUGACGGAAGUCAAGGCAAGAGAAAAAGGGUGGUAGGCGUUGGUGGGAGGAAAAAGUAAAAGGUCCCUGCAUCAAUAAAAAUAGUAGAUGCGAUGAGUAAAAUGGCUAAGAAUAAUAGAGCUAGAACAGAGACAGUAAACAAGAUUUUGGCAAAUGACAUAAGAGUUUCUAAGGUUGUGGCUUACCUAAAUGGACUCCCAGAAGUUUUUGGUGAUAAAGAUUUGCAUUGAAGAUGUGUCAAUCUUGUUUUGUACAAGCCUAUGCGAGAUCCUUACUGGCAACUCAAAGAUCAUCCUGAUCACUUAGUUAAUUGAUUAAAGCACCAACUCUACCAUCUACUAGAUUUUAUUUCAAAAAAUACAUCUAGAUGAAUUUUUAUCUAGGCUUAUGAUGACUUGACUUGUGUUUGACUUGUAGUUGCUUUAUUUUGACUUGUAUUUGACUUGUAGUUGCUUUAUUUUGACUUGUAAUUUGCUAUACAAAUGAUGACUUAGUUUGUAGUGAAUAUUUAACUCUUAUCCAA